RNAcentral lists this ribosomal RNA (253 nucleotides) under uncultured bacterium. Its description in RNAcentral is "partial 16S ribosomal RNA". It matches the Rfam family "Bacterial small subunit ribosomal RNA", at positions 524 to 776 of the family's 1533-position model. The record is from RNAcentral.
UACGAAGGGUGCAAGCGUUAAUCGGAAUUACUGGGCGUAAAGCGUGCGUAGGCGGCUGCUUAAGUCAGAUGUGAAAGCCCCGGGCUUAAGCUGGGAACGGCAUUUGAUACUGGGCAGCUCGAGUGGAGUAGAGGAGAGGGGAAUUUCCUGUGUAGCGGUGAAAUGCGGAGUGAUCUGAAGGAACACCAGGGGAGAAGGCGCCUCUCUGGACUCAAACUGAGGCUGGGGUAAGAAGGCGUGGGUAUCAAACAGC